GUUAAACAGUUCUGCAGCUGUUGUCUCACACUCGGCGGUCGUGGUCGAUGCGGUUGAUCUUUCCACCGAUGAAGACUCGGAUCCUGCAGUCGCCCCACUUACUCCUGUUGGUCAGCAGAUGUUUUCGGUGUAAACACUGACCUCCAUCAUCAAACAGCCACCAGACAUCUAUGGUUCCUUUGCCCUGUUUCUUCUUAAACUGCUGGCUGGACUCCAACAGACGCUGGUCCGUCAGACUCAGAGGAGACUUGGUCUCUGGAGCAGGAGACAACACAUACAGCCACCAGAUGUCCCCAGCCUUGCCCCUGUACCAGUCACCUGACACUCUUUACCCACCUGCACCACCUGUUCCCAUCUCCCUCAUCAGCUCUGUGCACACAGACCAGCCCUCUGUCCUCAGUCAGUUUGUUCCCUGUCUCUCUGCUGCCUGCUGUAUUGACUACCUGCCUGUUCAUCACUCACCUGCCUCUAAGCCUAUUUACUCUGAUUAAAGCUUCAUGUGUGACGGUUCGACAAACUGCAACAUCUCAAACCAAACCUGGCUUGAAUCCAGAACUUCAGCCACGCUGGAGGCCAAAAAGAAUCUUUGUAAAAUGUUAGUGUCUGUUUUGAAGAACACUC
Molecule: long non-coding RNA, 621 nt
Organism: Lates calcarifer (barramundi perch)
Lineage: Eukaryota; Metazoa; Chordata; Actinopteri; Centropomidae
Exons: 3
Source: RefSeq, a predicted model, not a curated record